Long non-coding RNA from Vombatus ursinus (common wombat), 1547 nucleotides. Lineage: Eukaryota; Metazoa; Chordata; Mammalia; Diprotodontia; Vombatidae. The record is from Ensembl.
CCACAAAGGAGGCCCCCUUGGAGGCCUUCCCCUUGCAGACUCUUAGGACAGAAGCUUCCCUGGCACAGACACUCCACUAGAGAAGAGAGGAGGGGGCUCAAGAAAAUGAGGGAGAGGCCCUCUUACAGGGCAUUCUAGUCUUCAUUUCUGCCCUGACAGGAAAGAGGAGAAUGGAAACGGUCAGUUCUGUAUCGCAGGCCAGUAGAAGGAAAGGAAGGAAAAAAAACCCACCUUGGGCCCAGUGCGCGUGUGUAUGUGUGUGCGAGCCAGUAGCCUCUGUCCAUAGCCAGGAGCCUGGGGCUGCCUUCGUGGUCAGUGGGGUCCAGACUGCACUGCUAACCCUCCCUUCUCUUCUUUCUCCCCCUUCCCCCUGCUCUGUCUGUUUUGUGAGUGCUAUCACCACACUGUCAUUAGCCCAUUUGAAUUUCCUCUUCCCAUGGAGACAGGCUCAUUCCAAGCAGCUGUGGCAUUUGGAGAUCUGGCCAUGGGCUUCUCCCGGAAGGAUGAGGGCCUCUGAUGUCCCUCAGAAGGUUCUCCAGGGAACGUGGGCCCUCUGGGUCCUCCUGGCACUGGCCAACAAAGACAACGCCCUUGGGAUGCCAAGAAGCAGUUUUAUGACUGCUUCUGUUGUGGUGGCAGCUGCUAAGCCCUGCUUCUGAUAUCACCCUCGCUGAAGAGGAGGAAAUGCUCCUUGUUUGCUAUCUGCAUUGGCUGCGGCAGCAGGGAGCACCAGCUGUGACCCCACGACGGGGCCUGGGACCUCAUCCUUGUACCUGGGGCUGUGUGGUCCCUGAUGGGUGGGCACUUGCUGAGGCCACCGGCCACCAGCAUGCAGGGGGCACUGUGUGGGCAUCUUCUGUGUUUCCUUGACCUGGCAGUAAGAGGGAGAGCUGAAGAGCAGGUGACCUCAUGCUAGGGAAUGGAAAGUACCGGGGCAUCUCCCCUCCUCCCUACCCCUACCCAGAGAAAAAGACCUGGAGGAGUCGUUUCUGAGGGCGUCCCAGUGGGGAGGCCAUCGAGAAGCUUGUUUGUGUGAGCUGAGCAGGGCCAGGUGAAGAGGAUGCCAUUCAGUCUGUGUUAGAGAGGAUUUCCUGCUGCCGGGGCCUCUGAGAGGCUCCACAGCCAGAGUCCCCCUGCCACAUGGCAGUGGAGGGAUGCUGAUCCUAGGCAUGUCCUCUGAGUGAUUCUGUUCCAGACAGAGUGGGGACCCUCCUCAGCUGUUCAUGAGAAGCUGCUUCAGGGUCUGUUCAGAGCCAUCGGUGCCCCCCCCCCCCCAGAGGAGCAACUCGAAAUGACUCACGCUUCGUCUCUCUCCAGGGGCCCAGGCAAAUUCUCCUGAAAGCCAAAUGUGGGAGCCACAAAUGCCCCUGCUGGGCCUCAGGACCCUUUGUAGUUCCAAGUGUCAUUUAAGCAUAUUCUGCUGUAACAAGUGAAAGGCUAACAAGCUACAGUAGAAGCCCCUAACCCCCCUCCCCACAUACCUAGACCAGGAAGCCCUCUGGCUUAGACAUAUGUGAGAUCUCCAAAUAAAACACUGCUUUUGUUCA